Molecule: long non-coding RNA, 529 nt
Filed under: Gopherus agassizii (Agassiz's desert tortoise)
Lineage: Eukaryota; Metazoa; Chordata; Testudines; Testudinidae
Description: lncRNA (ENSGAGG00000025766.1)
Source: RNAcentral
UCAGUUAAUAUAUUAGCAGGUUUUUUGUUUGCUUAGGUGUGUUUAAAUGAGUUGCUGAAGGACUGGAUUCUCAACUGGAAAUUCCCGUUAGCUUCCAAAGGGUGCUUUUCAGCCUCAUCUGUCCUUUUUGUGGAUAAAAGAAACGUGAAGGUUGCCGCUUACCAGCUCGCUGUUUUGAGGAUAACAAUGGCAUGAUGUGGUGGAUAUUGACUUUCCAAGCUCCUACCUCAGCCUGGAAACAGAAGUUAAGACCCUUGUCUUUUCCUACCUGCAUGCUAGCCAAGCCGUUCCAGGGUACUCCUUUUCUGAGUGAUGAGUUGAGGAAGAGGAGAGCAGGUAUGUUGGAAAGACACUGUCAUGUACUCACUUUUGCGUCCACAUCUGUAACAAAUAUGGCAGCAUCCUGGCUUUGCUGACAGUGGAUCUACCCAACUGAGAAGCUGGAAUUAAGUGUUUCAACCAGACUGUUCCUGUUCCUGUUUCAGUUCUUACACCACCUGCAUCAUCGUAUUAGUUGGGCACCUUUCAG